This 1150-nucleotide long non-coding RNA is filed under the name Monodelphis domestica (gray short-tailed opossum). RNAcentral describes it as "lncRNA (ENSMODG00000042067.1)". The record is from RNAcentral. Lineage: Eukaryota; Metazoa; Chordata; Mammalia; Didelphimorphia; Didelphidae.
AUGGGGGGGGCUUGCUUGAGGGGAACAGGGCAGGUUUUCGGGCAGCAUCCAUUUUCCACGAGUCUCUCCUCCUGCCUUGAGAACGGCCGUUGGCAACACAAUCACAAGAAGGAAAAUGGGCGUCUGGCAGAUUCCGGUGUUGGGAGAGACCCAGAGGACAUCGGGACCCCCAAGGACCAUCUCUGCAGCCAUUUACCAGGAGCGCCAUCUGCCACGUGGGGUGCCCGAGAGAAGGAGAGGUGCCAGUGUGCGUGGGGAGACAGAACAUGCCUUAAUCCAAAAUCUGCGCCCUCACCGGCCUCUGCGUCCGUUGUGAACGAACACCUGAAAUCGGGAGCUUGCCGACACCUGGCCCGGAACUGUGUGCCAGGUGGGGGUGGGGGGUCCAGAGCCCAUCGCCCCUCACCACCAGGCCACCAUGAUGGACGCAGAAGGCUCAGCCCAGCCCCUCGUAAGAGAAACUCCUUUCCUCCUCUCGGGUUCCGGGUCAGAAACUCUCUUCUGGUCAACGGUGAGCUGCUGCCCUUCACCCUCUGGCCAGCCUGGCUCAGGCCCGGGGCACUCCGGGGACUCCUUUGGGGAGACGGUCCUCCUCGCUGCCGGAUUAAUGUAGGAGUUUACGCCCACCCGGGGAGCCCAAUGGGAACGGCGUCUGCAUUCCCGGCUGCCUUGGAGGAAAGACCCAACGUUGGAAUGGUGUGGCGCCCCGAGAGACGGCGAGGGAGAGCUCACAGCCCCAGGCUUGCUUUCUGCACCUGCAAACCCAUCAUCCGAGGCUCAGAACUGUUCGGACCCUCCAGGGAACGAGCAAGCGCGCACACGCCUGCCGCUCCCCAAAGUGCAUCUCAUUGAAGGCUCUGUGCGCAUCUCUCCUUUGGUGGCCAUCCCCUGUGCAGAAUGGAUGCUCCUCUUGUGGCCCUGACCAGGAAUGCCUGUUGCCCUUCCGCGUCCUCAUCCAGUCCGCUCAGACAGGGAACCUAACCACUAACACAGUGACUUUGCUUUAAGACCUUCUCCUGGGUAUGCGGUGCUAUGAAGCCCCCGGAUGCGGCCCGUGUCCCGGGCUGAUGCCAUUACCCACUCUUUUACUUGCAAUUUGAGCCAUUUAAAGACCAAUAAACUUCCGUUUUCUAAAUCCUUGUGCUUCUCC